GUCGGGAUUGCAGGAGGUGCAGGGCGUCACGGGGGGCCGGGUGGUCUCCGUGUUGUCGUGGAUGUGUUCUGGAAGGACGCCGCGCUGCUGGAGGAGAACUCUGGGAGCGGAGGAGCGGAUGUCCACGUGUGGCUUGGCCGACUCUGGAUCAGGCACGCAGUCUGGAUGGAUGGAAAUGAAGUCUGCUGCCUGCUCUCUGUCCAGCGUGAAGCAGCACACCCCCACGGACGGCCCCACCGCCACCACGAUGUCGCCGUACCGACAACCAAAAUUCGUCACCAUGGCGUCCACGGUUGCCGUGGCCACGCCCAUCAAGGUCCCUCUCCAACCUGGGAAUUGACGUCGAGUCACAUGAUCAACAACGGGAUGUUGCCACUGGCUCAAACUAAGAAGAAGACGACGACGACAGGAAGAAGUUGGAACAGCAAGUUUCUUAAUGGUGGGGAAAAAAAAGAUUUUGUACAGUGAUGUCAAUGUCUGAUACUAAAGAGAUAGUGUUACGUAAAACUGAA
This is a long non-coding RNA of Xiphophorus hellerii (green swordtail), 512 nucleotides long. RefSeq lists it as uncharacterized. The record is from RefSeq and is a predicted model, not a curated record. Lineage: Eukaryota; Metazoa; Chordata; Actinopteri; Cyprinodontiformes; Poeciliidae. The transcript is spliced from 3 exons.